UACAGAGGGUGCAAGCGUUAAUCGGAAUUACUGGGCGUAAAGCGCACGUAGGUGGAUAUUUAAGUCGGAUGUGAAAGCCCUGGGCUCAACCUGGGAAUUGCAUUCGAUACUGGAUAUCUUGAGUAUGGUAGAGGAAAGUAGAAUUCCCGGUGUAGCGGUGAAAUGCGUAGAUAUCGGGAGGAAUACCAGUGGCGAAGGCGGCUUUCUGGGCCAAUACUGACACUGAGGUGCGAAAGCGUGGGGAGCAAACAGG
This 253-nucleotide ribosomal RNA is filed under the name uncultured bacterium. RNAcentral's name for it is "partial 16S ribosomal RNA". It matches the Rfam family "Bacterial small subunit ribosomal RNA", at positions 524 to 776 of the family's 1533-position model. The record is from RNAcentral.